This is a non-coding RNA of Merluccius polli (Benguela hake), 72 nucleotides long. Lineage: Eukaryota; Metazoa; Chordata; Actinopteri; Gadiformes; Merlucciidae. The record is from the annotation of a GenBank genome assembly.
GGGCAGGAUAUUGUAGUGGGUGUUCGACUCCAAACCUGAAAGGUUCUGGGUUCAAUCCCCAGUGUCCGCCUA